CGGACGGGUGAGUAACACGUGGAUAACCUACCUAUAAGACUGGGAUAACUUCGGGAAACCGGAGCUAAUACCGGAUAAUAUUUUGAACCGCAUGGUUCAAAAGUGAAAGACGGUCUUGCUGUCACUUAUAGAUGGAUCCGCGCUGCAUUAGCAGUUGGUAAGGUAACGGCUUACCAAGGCAACGAUGCAUAGCCGACCUGAGAGGGUGAUCGGCCACACUGGAACUGAGACACGGUCCAG
Molecule: ribosomal RNA, 240 nt
Filed under: uncultured Staphylococcus sp.
Lineage: Bacteria; Bacillati; Bacillota; Bacilli; Caryophanales; Staphylococcaceae
Description: partial 16S ribosomal RNA
Rfam family: Bacterial small subunit ribosomal RNA
Source: RNAcentral